This 598-nucleotide ribosomal RNA is filed under the name Colletotrichum gloeosporioides. Its description in RNAcentral is "eukaryotic LSU rRNA". The stretch from base 238 to 391 matches the Rfam family "5.8S ribosomal RNA". Lineage: Eukaryota; Fungi; Ascomycota; Sordariomycetes; Glomerellales; Glomerellaceae. The record is from RNAcentral.
AGGAAGUAAAAGUCGUAACAAGGUCUCCGUUGGUGAACCCAGCGGGAGGGAUCAUUACUGAGUUUUACGCUCUUUAUAACCCUUUUGUGAACAUACCUAUAACUGUUGCUUCGGCGGGGGGUAGGGGUCUCCGCGACCCUCCCGGCCUCCCGCCUCCGGGCGGGUCGGCGCCCGCCGGAGGAUAACCAAACUCUGAUUUAACGACGUUUCUUCUGAGUGGUACAAGCAAAUAAUCAAAACUUUUAACAACGGAUCUCUUGGUUCUGGCAUCGAUGAAGAACGCAGCGAAAUGCGAUAAGUAAUGUGAAUUGCAGAAUUCAGUGAAUCAUCGAAUCUUUGAACGCACAUUGCGCCCGCCAGCAUUCUGGCGGGCAUGCCUGUUCGAGCGUCAUUUCAACCCUCAAGCUCUGCUUGGUGUUGGGGCCCUACAGCUGAUGUAGGCCCUCAAAGGUAGUGGCGGACCCUCCCGGAGCCUCCUUUGCGUAGUAACUUUACGUCUCGCACUGGGAUCCGGAGGGACUCUCGCCGUAAAACCCCCCAAUUUUCCAAAGGUUGACCUCGGAUCAGGUAGGAAUACCCGCUGAACUUAAGCAUAUCA